AACGAACGCUGGCGGCAUGCCUAACACAUGCAAGUCGAACGAGACCUUCGGGUCUAGUGGCGCACGGGUGCGUAACGCGUGGGAACCUGCCCUUAGGUUCGGAAUAACUCCCCGAAAGGGGUGCUAAUACCGGAUAAUGUCUUCGGACCAAAGAUUUAUCGCCUUUGGAUGGGCCCGCGUUGGAUUAGCUAGUUGGUAGGGUAAAAGCCUACCAAGGCGACGAUCCAUAGCUGGUCUGAGAGGAUGAUCAGCCACACUGGGACUGAGACACGGCCCAGACUCCUACGGGAGGCAGCAGUGGCGAAUAUUGGACAAUGGGCGAAAGCCUGAACCAGCAAUGCCGCGUGAGUGAUGAAGGCCUUAGGGUUGUAAAGCUCUUUUACCCGGGAUGAUAAUGACAGUACCGGGAGAAUAAGCUCCGGCUAACUCCGUG
RNAcentral lists this ribosomal RNA (433 nucleotides) under uncultured bacterium. RNAcentral's name for it is "partial 16S ribosomal RNA". It matches the Rfam family "Bacterial small subunit ribosomal RNA", at positions 29 to 507 of the family's 1533-position model. The record is from RNAcentral.